Molecule: ribosomal RNA, 332 nt
Filed under: uncultured bacterium
Lineage: Bacteria
Description: bacterial SSU rRNA
Rfam family: Bacterial small subunit ribosomal RNA
Source: RNAcentral
CAUGCAGGCGGUCGUACGCGUUUUGUGUGACAGCGGGUGGCUUAACUACCCGAGGAUGCGAAAGACGGUAUGACUUGAGAGCUCGAGAGGGACACGGAAUUCCGGGUGGAGUGGUGAAAUGCGUAGAGAUCCGGAGGAACACCGAAGGCGAAGGCAGUGUCCUGGCGAGCGACUGACGCUGAGGUGCGAAAGCCAGGGGAGCGAACGGGAUUAGAUACCCCGGUAGUCCUGGCCGUAAACGAUGACCACCAGGUGUGGGAGGUAUCGACCCCUUCCGUGCCGGAGGCAACCCACUAAGUGGUCCGCCUGGGGAGUACGGUCGCAAGAUUAAA